GAUGAACGCUGGCGGCGUGCCUAAUACAUGCAAGUCGAGCGAACAGACGAGGAGCUUGCUCCUCUGACGUUAGCGGCGGACGGGUGAGUAACACGUGGAUAACCUACCUAUAAGACUGGGAUAACUUCGGGAAACCGGAGCUAAUACCGGGUAAUAUAUUGAACCGCAUGGUUCAUUAGUGAAAGACGGUUUUGCUGUCACUUAUAGAUGGAUCCGCGCCGCAUUAGCUAGUUGGUAAGGUAACGGCUUACCAAGGCAACGAUGCGUAGCCGACCUGAGAGGGUGAUCGGCCACACUGGAACUGAGACACGGUCCAGACUCCUACGGGAGGCAGCAGUAGGGAAUCUUCCGCAAAGGGCGAAAGCCUGACGGAGCAACGCCGCGUGAGUGAUGAAGGUCUUCGGAUCGUAAAACUCUGUUAUUAGGGAAGAACAAAUGUGUAAGUAACUAUGCACGUCUUGACGGUACCUAAUCAGAAAGCCACGGCUAACUACGUG
RNAcentral lists this ribosomal RNA (497 nucleotides) under uncultured bacterium. RNAcentral's name for it is "partial 16S ribosomal RNA". It matches the Rfam family "Bacterial small subunit ribosomal RNA", at positions 28 to 507 of the family's 1533-position model. The record is from RNAcentral.